RNAcentral lists this ribosomal RNA (62 nucleotides) under Gonyaulax spinifera. RNAcentral describes it as "partial 5.8S ribosomal RNA". The record is from RNAcentral. Lineage: Eukaryota; Dinophyceae; Gonyaulacales; Gonyaulacaceae.
UGCCCCGGCACCAGCUGCGAAGAAGGCCCCGGCGAAGGGCAAAAAGGCUGUGAAGGGCAAGA